RNAcentral lists this ribosomal RNA (497 nucleotides) under uncultured bacterium. Its description in RNAcentral is "partial 16S ribosomal RNA". It matches the Rfam family "Bacterial small subunit ribosomal RNA", at positions 28 to 507 of the family's 1533-position model. The record is from RNAcentral.
GAUGAACGCUGGCGGCGUGCCUAACACAUGCAAGUCGAGCGGACGGACGAUGCUUUUGCUUGGCUGAUGUGAGCGGCGGGCGGGUGAGUAACACGUGUAUAACCUACCUAUAAGACUGGGAUAAUUACGGGAAACCGGAUAUAAUACCGGAUAAGAUUUUGAACCGCAGGGGGCAUAGGUGAAAGACGGUGGUGCUGGCACUAAUAGAGGGAUCCGCGCUGGAUUGGCUAGUUGUUAAGGUAAAGGCUUACCAAGGCGAGGAUGCAUAGCCGCCCUGACAGGAUGAUCAGCCACCCUGGAACUGAGACACGCUCCAGACUCCUACGGGAGGCAGCAGUAGGGAAUCUUCGGCAAUGGGCGAAAGACUGACGGAGCAACGCCGCGUGAGUGAUGAAGGUCUUCGGAUCGUAAAACUCUGUUAUUAGGGAGGAACACAUGUGUACGUAACUCUGCACGUCUUGACGGUACCUAAUUAGAAAGCCACGGCUAACUUCGUG